Long non-coding RNA from Musa acuminata AAA Group (dessert banana), 4726 nucleotides. RefSeq lists it as uncharacterized. The transcript has 5 exons. The record is from RefSeq and is a predicted model, not a curated record. Lineage: Eukaryota; Viridiplantae; Streptophyta; Magnoliopsida; Zingiberales; Musaceae.
AAAAUUAAAAGAAUAAUUUGAAUAUUUUUAAAUUAAAAAAUACUGUUUUUAAAAUAAAUAUAUUAAUAAAAAAUCUAAAAUAUAAAUAUAUUUUAGGAAACGUGAACACCUAUUUAUAUUUAAUGACAUGAUUGUUGUUGUGACAUCUUCCACCUUAAGGAAGCCUUUUUAUUUUGCGUGCGGUAAGCUGACCCCAAGGCUCCCGACUUUGAGUUAUGCUCACCGUCGGUGGGAGUAAGAAUACAAAAAUUGGACGGUUUGGGUGCCAUUUAGAAUUGUUUGGGCUUCCUGUCACCGACCAGACCAUAUCCAUGGACUAUAUAAACCCUCGUUUCGGGGUCGCGUUCUUCUCCUCUGUCUUGCUCUAGAAUCCCCCCUCUGUAUCAUAUGGCGAUGGAUGGGAAGACUUGCUUCGCGAUCGCCAGCGACCGUCGGCACCGCCACCCGUACACUGUACCAGCAGCCGAUCUUUCGCCAUAAUCUCUAUCAACUGAGGGCAGGAGAGGUAUUUGAAGCCCCAGACAUCCCGCCGUCUCGUUGGCGCUCUGCUGUGUGAGAAAAGGAUCGCCUUUGCGAUUGAGAAAUUGGAUUUUUGUCUCGUCACUGCUGUUUGAGGCCUUCUCCUACUUAGUUUGCCACUAACGUUGGAAUAUUGUUACGAUGGGCGUUGCUUCCUAUUUGCUUCUUUUAACUCUUGUUGUGGAAUUUGCAGAUUCCAAACCUCAACCUACAAAUUGAAAGAUAAUGUUAACUGUAGUUAGCCAACAGAAUUGUCAACUGUGGUAAAAGAAAAAAGAUGAAUGAUAUCAUUUAACCUUAUAUGGUUCUUACUAGUGACUUUUGAAUGUUUUUGGUUCAGUCAGUAAGUUAUUGAUGUAUACUUAAUAGUAAUUAAACCUGCAAAAAGAUUAGACAAGUUUUUUGGACCUAGAUUCUUUUUGCCAGCAACAUAAAUUCAGCAUCACUAUGAUAGUUCCCUUGGUUCUACUUGAAGCCAUUUGAUAAAUGGAGAAGAAAUGACUUAAGUAGGAAUGGACAUAUGCAAUUCUUUUUUUUGCUCAUCAGGCUAAUCUAUGGAAUCCUUAUUUGUAAUCUUAAGAUAGUGGAGUUUCUCCAGAUAGUUUACAGGAUCAAACAUUAAUAAAUUGUUUUCGUCUUUGAAAUGCUUCAGCUAUAUAGAAGUUGUACACAUAUCCAAAACCUAAAUAAGAUCAUUUUCUGCUCAUGGACUUUUUCCUGAUUUACUUUCCUUGUUCACUCCUCCUAUGUAAUGUAACAUUGAUGUUCUCAUUAGAAGAUGAUCUUCCAUUCAUUUGUACAAUGGAUUGCCUUGAUGCCAAGUAUGCAAGUUUUCUCUUUGUUUGUAUUUGCCCAUGGAUCAGGCUUAGGUGUAUUUAUUGAAGAUAAUGGGUAGCAUUUUGUUGUUAGUAGGAGCCUUACUGUCACCAACAUUAUGAUGGAUAAAUAUUUACCAACAAAAAUAUUCCCGUUGUUCUUUUUUUUUUUUUUUUCUUGUUGCUUCAUGUAGAAUUUUACAAGUGCACUAAUAUUUUGUUUGAUUGUAGCUCUUUGGGAAAUCAUCCUAAAUAUAUUUUUUGUAAGUUAGCCAAAUUUUUUGUAGGUUAUACUGCAAUCUACUUGCAUAGAAAUGCUAAAAUGACACUGCCUUUUGUUUUGAUGCAUUUUUUUUCCACGGAGCAUACUUGACAAGUCCAAAGAGGGGAUUCUGUGCAGAAUGAUGUGCAAGAUAAAUCCCCAAAUCUGAAACAUAUUGUCUACAGAGCUGUCAUCAGCUCUACUACUAGAGCUACUUGAGGGCAAAAGAUCAGGAUCUUUAAAUUUACUUUAAGAUUGUUUACACUUAGCAUUGCCAUUUACUCUUAGUAAGUUAGAAUCAGUGAUCAAAUAGAGUAUUACUGGGUGUUCUCAAUUCAUUGAAGAGCAAAGUUUCAUUUUCUUUAUGUGGCUUACAUGAGUGAUAGCCAGCUUGCAGAAUUGAAAACCUCAUGACUUGUGACAUUGAUGCUUCUCAAGGAUUUAUUUGUGGUGAACACUAAGAUAUUUGUAUUGCUAGUAAGGCUCAAUAAUAGGUAAUAUGAAACAUAAUCAGUUACCAUGGCUAACUCCAUUCUUUGUUCUUUGAUGAUUGCUUUGCUAUUUUAGUUAUGAAGUCAAGGGGUUGAUGAGAAGGAAAACAUAGCCGUGUUUAGGUCAUGGAUAAUAUAUAGGUUGUGACAAUGGAUCAUCCUCUUGGGUAAGCCAAAAAGCCUCAGUUAAGACAUUUGAGAAAGACAACAAAGUACAUCAAAUGCAAGCUGGAUGUGAGGAUGAUGAGUGACAGAAUCAGACAUAUAGUGUAUGAAAUUAUGCAUCCAUCAAGGUUUGUUUUUGGAAAUGUGGUCAGGAGGAAGUUUUAAGAUGCACAUUUGUUUUGCUUCAUGGUGGAUGCACAAGUUUGCCUCCCUCUCUCUCUCUCUCUGUGUAUAAUGAAUGAUGUCUAACAAAUAAGAAGGAAGAAGCAUGAUGUUUGAUGACUGACUGUCAGUAUUAUCAUUUCGUUUGCAGGAAUUGAGCAUCCAAGAGACCAAAGAAGACAAAUGCCAAAAGAAACCAUUUAGCCCGAAAUAUCACAAAGAAAGCAGGACAUCACAUUCACUUAGAUCAUGACAGUGUAGUGCUGCUGUAUCGUCUCGAUGUCCAGCCCCUUUAGCUUCACCACAGACUCGACGUGGCCUUUUAGCGUGUGGAGCUCCCUCAGCCUGCAGCAGAAACAAUCGACUCAGUUCAUCAGCAUCAUGUACAUGUUGAUCACAGAAUCCUCAAAUGAAGGCUUUUGUUUGGUAGAUUACCGGGCAACCUCGGCGCGCCUCUUCGCCUGCUCGGCGAUCUCAGACAACUCCCUGUAGCUUGUCUUGUCGUUGAAGAGGUCGGAGGUGUCCGCGGGCUGCAAGCCAUGGAGGGUGCGCUGAGCCAGAGCCCACUGCGCCUCCCUCUCGCCCCUCCCGUGAAGAAGGGAAGGAGAAGCGUGUUGACCUUGUUCUCGAGAAGGUUGUCCCAGGCCUUGCCGCUGAGAGCGUAGCGGAUGAUGAACUUGAGGAUGUCGAGAGGGAAGUAGGUGAUCAAGCUGAAGAGCCAGAUGAUCCCAGCCCAUCCCCACCCGAUGCCCUGGAUUCUUGCGAAGCUCCACGACGCAUACACGGCGAUGACCGUCGCCACCUGCCAUUACAAGGUUUCAGCAAGGAAGAAAGAAAGACGAGUUGUCGAGCUUAUGGAGGACGCAGGAGUACCAGCUGGGCGGCGACGAAGGCGGCGACCAGCAGAAACCCGGGACGUUCGACGAAGGACCAGCUCCUCGACCUGGUGACGAAGAUGAGUGCCUGGCUGAUGAUACUGACCUGGAGGUAGAGUGCUGCCGUCAGCUCCUCUUGGUUGUCCUUGAUCGGCCUCACACCAAACUUCUCCUGUUUCGGAAAGGGCAUUGCCAUCGGUUAACAGCCACACUCUUGCAGCAACGAGGCCGGCGAGAGAGAGAGAGAGAGAGAGAGAGAUGGUGCUUCUACUCACAGGGAAGAAGUCGGUGGCAUGUGCGAGCCAGAAGAAGACGACGGUCAUUAUGGCAAGGUACGCUCCGAGGACGACUCCGGUGGCAAAGAUCUCCCGGAGCUUCCAUGAGUCGGGCAAGGGGGAGGGCUUCACCCUGUCCUUGGAGAUGGUCAUGAUGGUGCCGUCGUUGAGGAUGGCGAUGAUGAGGACCAUGAAGGGGGAGAAGUCGAAGCGCCAGAUGAGGGCGAUGAGCAUGAAGCCGAGCACGAUACGGAUGGUGAUGGAGACGGCGUAGAUGGUGUAGUUCUUCAUCCGCUGGAAGAUGGCGCGGCUCGUCAGCACCGCGCUCACGAUCACGCUCAGCCCCGGCUCCGUCAACACGAUGUCCGACGCGCUGCGGGCGGCGUCCGUCGCGUCCGCCACAGCGAUGCCGAUGUCCGCCUUCUUCAGAGCUGCAAACCAACAGAUGGUCAUCAGUGCAGCGCAGAGAAUCGAGACAGAGCAACCCAUGAGCUCGAUGUGCACUCAUCGUUACCUGGGAAGACUCCAGCAAAGCCAUCGGCCUUCUCGAUGAGCUCGUCAAUGGGGAGGCCGGUGACGUCGUCGUUCUUAUCGCCAAGAAGCGUGGAGGACGGGUACAUGUUGGUUCCCAUGCCGAGCCGACGCCCAGUUUCCUUGCCAAUGGCAAGUUGGUCGCCGGUGAUCAUCUUGACGUUAACGCCGAGGUGGAGGGCUUGGCGGAUGGUCUCGGCGCUGUCGUGCCUCGGAGGAUCAAAGAGGGGCAAGAGGCCUAUGAACUGCCAUGGAUCGCCGGCGCUCUCCUUGUUUGCCUCAGGCACCUCCUGCCUCGCCACACCCAGAGCGCGAAGGCCACGUUCGGCGAACUUGUCGAUCAUGGCAUGCACCUUCUUCUUGGCAUCGUCUUUCAUGUUGCAGAGAUCAAUGAUCUGAAGGAUGCAAAGAAAAGCAUUAGGCAUUUCCUCGAGAAGAUGGAAGACGGACGUCGAUGAAGGAUCAAAGAUAUGUAGAACCGUCCUACCUGCUCGGGUGCACCCUUGCUCGAUCGGUGCCACUUGCCAUUGGAGUCGAUGUACGUGAUUGCGGUGCGCUUGUCGACCGGAUUGAAUGGCAGGAAAUGGACCUCCUGGAUCCCUGCACGUGCCUGCAAGCGCAAAGAUGAUGA